Molecule: long non-coding RNA, 3707 nt
Filed under: Oncorhynchus mykiss (rainbow trout)
Lineage: Eukaryota; Metazoa; Chordata; Actinopteri; Salmoniformes; Salmonidae
Description: lncRNA (ENSOMYG00000048297.1)
Source: RNAcentral
AUGCCAGUGUUCUAUUCCAUUCCAUGCCAGUGUUCCAUUCCAUUCCAUGCCAGUGUUCAAUUCCAUUUCAUGCCAGUGUUCAAUUCCAUUCCAUGCCAGUGUUCAAUUGCAUUUCAUGCCAGUGUUCAAUUCCAUUUCAUGCCAGUGUUCCAUUUUAUUCCAUGCCAGUGUUCCAUUCCAUGCCAGUGUUCCAAUCCAUUCCAUGCCAGUGUUCCAUUCCAUUUCAUGCCAGUGUUCCAUUCCAUUCCACGACAGUGUUCCAUUCCAUUUCAUGCCAGUGUUCCAUUCCAUUUCAUGCCAGUGUUCCAUUUUAUUCCAUGCCAGUGUUCCAUUCCAUGCCAGUGUUCCAUUCCAUUCCAUGCCAGUGUUCCAUUCCAUUUCAUGCCAGUGUUCCAUUCCAUUUCAUGCCAGUGUUCCAUUUUAUUCCAUGCCAGUGUUCCAUUCCAUUCCAUGCCAGUGUUCCAUUCCAUGCCAGUGUUCCAUUCCAUGUCAGUGUUCCAAUCCAUUCCAUGCCAGUGUUCCAAUACAGUUCCAUGCCAGUGUUCCAAUCCAUUUCAUGCCAGUGUUCCAUUUUAUUCCAUGCCAGUGUUCCAAUCCAUUCCAUGCCAGUGUUCCAUUCCAUGCCAGUGUUCCAAUCCAUUCCAUGCCAGUGUUCCAAUCCAUUCCAUGCCAGUGUUCCAAUCCAUUCCAUGCCAGUGUUCCAUUCCAUGCCAGUGUUCCAAUCCAUUCCAUGCCAGUGUUCCAAUCCAUUCCAUGCCAGUGUUCCAAUCCAUUCCAUGCCAGUGUUCCAAUCCAUUCCAUGCCAGUGUUCCAUUUCAUGCCAGUGUUCCAAUCCAUUUCAUGCCAGUGUUCCAAUCCAUUUCAUGCCAGUGUUCCAAUCCAUUCCAUGCCAGUGUUCCAAUCCAUUCCAUGUCAGUGUUCCAUUCCAUGCCAGUGUUCCAAUCCAUUCCAUGCCAGUGUUCCAUUCCAGCUCUAUUCCAGUUCCUUGCCAGUGUUCCAAUCCAUUCCAUGCCAGUGUUCCAUUCCAUGCCAGUGUUCCAAUCCAUUCCAUGCCAGUGUUCCAUUCCAGCUCUAUUCCAGUUCCUUGCCAGUGUUCCAAUCCAUUCCAUGCCAGUGUUCCAUUCCAUGCCAGUGUUCCAAUCCAUUCCAUGCCAGUGUUCCAUUCCAGCUCUAUUCCAGUUCCUUGCCAGUGUUCCAUUCCAGCUCUAUUCCAGUUCCUUGCCAGUGUUCCAUUCCAGCUCUAUUCCAGUUCCUUGCCAGUGUUGUCUGCAGCACUCUGCACUUUGUAGUGUAGUGUGCUUGUGUUUAGAUAGUCAAAAUCCUAGAUCCCACAUUCCCUGACAGAGGCAGAGCUAUCAUGCUCAGUCAUCAUCCUCUCUCUCUGUCUCACAGAAGGCCUUAUCCUCCCCUUCCUCUAUAAAUGCAAGCCAACGCAAAGCGUAAGAUUAGGCUCCCCUGACCUUUAACAGUGCUGAUAGCAGCCGCUGCGAAUGUCAGGGAACUCACAGCCGACACCAAACAAGGCUACUUCCCAAAUGGCACCCUGUUCCCUGCAUAGUGCACCUAGAGCCCAUAGGGUCUGGUCAACACUAGUGUACCAUAUAGGGAGUAGGGUGCCAUUGGGAACGCAUCCAUGCUUAGUUCACAGCACACAGCUAGAUUACAGAUAUCUGUGAUAGCAGGCAAAGAAAUUAUUAUCGGAAACUGACGUGAUAAUUACAGACGGUUGGAAAAAGGUUAUCGUUUAACACAGAAAGAGCCUCGAUGCUCCAGGAAAGCAGGCCUACUGCACCAAGCAGAGCAAUCAUAGAUUAUGUCUAGAUCAUAGACUGUCUGUGUCCCAAAUGACACCCCUUUUCCCCUAUAAAGUGCACUACUUUAGACCAGGGCUCACUUUGGUGCAAAGUAGUGCACUGCAGAUGUUAGCUCUUAAUUUGAUCCCCCUGCUGUAGCAGGAAACGCAAACUUCUGGUGUAUUCCAGGUUUAAAAAGGCGUCUUAAAUGUGUCAUUUCCACUUUAAAAUUUCAGACUUGAUUUACCGUAAAAAAAAAUGCAUCAACCCCUACAAAAAUGUCAUUAUAAUCCACAUAAGUCACAUUUCCUGUUGCUGCAGGAAUAUUUUCCUGAUGUGAUAAACUGGUCAAAUUAAGAUCCUACACAGGAUAAGGGUGCCACUUGGGAUGUAGACUCAAAAUGCUUCUAGGGGACUACUAUGGACAAAACUCUCCUUACUACAUAACCCUGUCUCUGACCAGUAGGCUGUUGAAGAACAAACCCUGUCUCUGACCAGUAGGCUGUUGAAGAACAAACCCUGUCUCUGACCAGUAGGCUGUUGAAGAACAAACCCUGUCUCUGACCAGUAGGCUGUUGAAGAACAAACCCUGUCUCUGACCAGUAGGCUGUUGAAGAACAAACCCUGUCUCUGACCAGUAGGCUGUUGAAGAACAAACCCUGUCUCUGACCAGUAGGCUGUUGAAGAACAAACCCUGUCUCUGACCAGUAGGCUGUUGAAGAACAAACCCUGUCUCUGACCAGUAGGCUGUUGAAGAACAAACCCUGUCUCUGACCAGUAGGCUGUUGAAGAACAAACCCUGUCUCUGACCAGUAGGCUGUUGAAGAACAAACCCUGUCUCUGACCAGUACGCUGUUGAAGAACAGAAUCAUAAUCCACAGUGGUAUAAAGUACUUAAGUAAAACUACUUUAAAGUACUACUUAAGUCGUUUUUGGGAGUAUCUGUACUUUACUAUUUAUAUUUUGGACAACUUUUACUUCACUACUACUUUUUACUGAAUACAUUUCCCCUGACACCCAAAAGUACUAGUUACAUUUUGAAUGCUUAGCAGGACAGGAACAUGGCCCAAUUCACACACUUAUCAAGAGAAUGUCCCUGGUCAUCCCUACUGCCUCUGAUCUGGAAGACUCACUAAACAGAGAACAUCCCUGGUCAUCCCUACUGCCUCUGAUCUGGAGGACUCACUAAACAGAGAACAUCCCUGGUCAUCCCUACUGCCUCUGAUCUGGAGGACUCACUAAACAGAGAACAUUCCUGGUCAUCUACUGCCUCGGAUCUGGAGGACUCACUAAACAGAGAACAUCCCUGGUCGUCCCUACUGCCUCUGAUCUGGAGGACUCACUAAACAGAGAACAUCCCUGGUCAUCCCUACUGCCUCUGAUCUGGAGGACUCACUAAACAGAGAACAUCCCUGGUCAUCCCUACUGCCUCUGAUCUGGAGGACUCACUAAACACAAAUGCUUAAUUUAUAAAUGAGGUCUGAGUGUUGGAGCGUGCCCCUGGCUAUCCGUAAAUACAUUUAAAAAACUAAAUUGUGCCUCUGGUUUGCUUAAUAUAAGGUAUUUGAAAUGAUUUAUACUUUUACUUUUGAUACUUAAAUAUAUUUAAAACCAAAUACUUUUAGAUUUUUACUCAAGUAGUAUUUUACUGGGUGACUUUCACCUCUAUAUCUUACAUUUACUCAAGUGUGACAAUUGGAUACUUUUUCCACCACUGAUCAUCCGCCAUGUUUUGUCUCUCCAAAAGGUUCCUGAGAAAAAGGCCUGUAAAGUUUAAAGAUAAAACGGCUAGAAAAUGAGUUCUCUAUGCAAUAUACAUUAAAGACAGAAGUGUGUUUAAUGUCAAAUUAAUCGUAGGAUUUGUUGUGAUUAAACACAAUUGAUGGCAAAUUCAGAAUUUGCUCAAAUGGAGAU